GAUUAAGUUAUUAAGGGCGUACGGUGGAUACCUAGGCACUAAGAGACGAAGACGGACGUGGCAAGCUGCGAUAAGCCUUGACGAGCUGCAAACAAGUGUUGACUCAAGGAUGUCCUAAUGAGAAACUCGGCACAGGUAAUGCUGUGUCAUCCUAUAGUGAAUACAUAGCUAUAGGAGGGUAACUGGGUGAACUGAAACAUCUUAGUAACCCCAGGAAGAGAAAGCGAAUGCGAUUCCCCUAGUAGCGGCGAGCGAAGAGGGAACAGCCCAAACUGUGUUAGUGUAAGUUUAUGGACGUUGCUAACGCAGGGUAGUAGGUUCUAUCAAGAUACCCCAUAAGGUAUCACAGUUAAGACUUUUUGCUAGUUGAAUCAGCUGGGAAGCUGAACCACAGAGGGUAAUAGUCCCGUAGGUGAAAGUAAAAAGAGGCUGGAUAGAGACCUGAGUAUUACGAGUCACGUGGAACCUCGUGAGAAGCAAGGAGGCCCAUCUCCUAAGGCUAAAUACUACUUAGUGACCGAUAGUGAACCAGUACCGCGAGGGAAAGGUGAAAAGAACCCCGGGAGGGGAGUGAAAUAGAAUUUGAAACCGUAUGCUUACAAGCGGUCAGAGGGCGUAUAUAUAUCAGCCUGAUGGCGUGCUUUUUGCUUAACGAACCGGCGAGUUAUGUCAAGGUGGCGAAGGUUAAGCCGAGAAGGUGGAGCCGCAGCGAGAGCGAGUCUGAAGAGGGCGCAAGUCGCCUGGCAUAGACCCGAAACCUAGUGACCUAUUCAUGGUCAGGAUGAAGCAUGUGUAAGAACAUGUGGAGGUCCGAACUCAUUGACGUUGAAAAGUCAUGAGAUGAACUGUGAAUAGGGGUGAAAGGCCAAUCGAACUAGGAAAUAGCUGGUUCUCUCCGAAAUAGCUUUAGGGCUAGCCUCAAGUAUUGUGACUUGGUGGUAGAGCACUGAUUGGACAAGGGGCUUUUAAGCUACCAAAUCCAGUCAAACUCCGAAUAGCAAGUCACGUUAAACUUGGGAGUCAGACUACGGGGGAUAAGCUGCGUAGUCGAGAGGGGAACAACCCAGAUCGUCAGCUAAGGUCCCAAAGUGUGAACUAAGUGGAAAAGGAAGUGAAGUUGCCUAGACAACCAGGAUGUUGGCUUAGAACCAGCCAUUCAUUUAAAGAGUGCGUAAUAGCUCACUGGUCGAGUGAUUUUGCGCUGAAAAUGUCCGGGGCUCAAGUUCACCACCGAAGCUACGGAUCGAGAGAUGGUAGGAGAGCAUUCUAUAGGGGACGAAGCAGUACCGAAAGGAGCUGUGGACCGUAUAGAAGAGAUAAUGCCGGUAUGAGUAACGAGAGACAGGUAAGAAUCCUGUCCGCCGAAAACCUAAGGUUUCCUGAGGAAGGCUCGUCCUCUCAGGGUAAGUCGGAUCCUAAGCUGAGGCCGAAAGGCGUAGGCAAUGGGAAGUUGGUCAAAAUUCCAACACCACCUUAUUUAACGUUUGAGUGAUGUAGUGACGCAGGAGGAUAA
Molecule: ribosomal RNA, 1513 nt
Filed under: Halanaerobacter jeridensis
Lineage: Bacteria; Bacillati; Bacillota; Clostridia; Halanaerobiales; Halobacteroidaceae
Description: Halanaerobacter sp. CEJFG43 Bacterial large subunit ribosomal RNA
Rfam family: Bacterial large subunit ribosomal RNA
Source: Rfam by way of RNAcentral